UUGGCCUACGGGAGGCAGCAGUGAGGAAUAUUGGUCAAUGGCCGAGAGGCUGAACCAGCCAAGUCGCGUGAGGGAAGAAGGUACUUAGUAUUGUAAACUUCUUUUGUCGGGGAACAAAGGCGGAGACGCGUCUCCGGAUGAGUGUACCCGAAGAAAAAGCAUCGGCUAACUCCGUGCCAGCAGCCGCGGUAAUACGGAGGAUGCGAGCGUUAUCCGGAUUUAUUGGGUUUAAAGGGUGCGCAGGCGGGAGAUCAAGUCAGCGGUAAAAUGUCGGGGCUCAACCCCGGCCGUCCGUUGAAACUGGU
RNAcentral lists this ribosomal RNA (305 nucleotides) under uncultured bacterium. RNAcentral describes it as "bacterial SSU rRNA". It matches the Rfam family "Bacterial small subunit ribosomal RNA", at positions 334 to 637 of the family's 1533-position model. The record is from RNAcentral.